Molecule: non-coding RNA, 681 nt
Organism: Schizosaccharomyces pombe (fission yeast)
Lineage: Eukaryota; Fungi; Ascomycota; Schizosaccharomycetes; Schizosaccharomycetales; Schizosaccharomycetaceae
Source: the annotation of a GenBank genome assembly
AAUCUUUAAAUCGUAAAAAUUUUAAGGAAAAUUAAAUCGCCAUCAAAAUAUUAACAAUAUGGUAUAAAGACUUUUUUAAACAUGAACUAUCAGAAAAAUGCAAAAGUCCUUUGAUGUAGCGGCCAAAGCUUUUUAGUUUAAAUGCAUGAUAGUACAAUCAUCAGUACAUCUUUAACUCAGAAUUCAGGAGAAACAAAUAUUGUACCUCAUAUACUAACAAAAUGAUAGUAUGAUACUUUUAUUAUAAUCGGAUUAAACGAAAUUAGCACUCAGCAACUUCAUUUGAUUUACGUGGAGAACUUUUGGCCUGUUGCAUAGCCAAGGCAAAAAUACGACUGGAAUUUGCAUUUUCAUUUAAUAAUCUUUGAUUCCAAUGUGAGCCUGACUGCUGUAUUAGUGGUAUAUCUUCGUUGCGAAUUACAGAGCCGAUGGACAUGAAAAAGCCAAAAGUGGCCGCAGAUGUUAACAUGUAUUGACCUAAGGUCCUUAAGAAUCCACGUGGACCAGGCCCAUAGCGCAAAACUGCUACUCCUCCAAAUAAAAACCCGAUGCCAAGUCCAGCAGCUGAACCCAUAAUGGCGCCCAUUUUUACUGUUCAGUGUUAAUGACUGAAUUCAUACAAUAUAGAACUUACGCUUAUCCACAGUUGAAGGUUGCAUAGAUUGCAUUUUGAGUAGUUAA